AUUGAACGCUGGCGGCAGGCCUAACACAUGCAAGUCGAGCGGAUGAAGGGAGCUUGCUCCUGGAUUCAGCGGCGGACGGGUGAGUAAUGCCUAGGAAUCUGCCUGGUAGUGGGGGAUAACGUCCGGAAACGGGCGCUAAUACCGCAUACGUCCUGAGGGAGAAAGUGGGGGAUCUUCGGACCUCACGCUAUCAGAUGAGCCUAGGUCGGAUUAGCUAGUUGGUGGGGUAAAGGCCUACCAAGGCGACGACCCGUAACUGGUCUGAGAGGAUGAUCAGUCACACUGGAACUGAGACACGGUCCAGACUCCUACGCGAGGCAGCAGUGGGGAAUAUUGGACAAUGGGCGAAAGCCUGAUCCAGCCAUGCCGCGUGUGUGAAGAAGGUCUUCGGAUUGUAAAGCACUUUAAGUUGGGAGGAAGGGCAGUAAGUUAAUACCUUGCUGUUUUGACGUUACCAACAGAAUAAGCACCGGCUAACUUCGUG
RNAcentral lists this ribosomal RNA (484 nucleotides) under uncultured bacterium. RNAcentral describes it as "partial 16S ribosomal RNA". It matches the Rfam family "Bacterial small subunit ribosomal RNA", at positions 30 to 507 of the family's 1533-position model. The record is from RNAcentral.